RNAcentral lists this ribosomal RNA (449 nucleotides) under uncultured bacterium. Its description in RNAcentral is "partial 16S ribosomal RNA". It matches the Rfam family "Bacterial small subunit ribosomal RNA", at positions 29 to 523 of the family's 1533-position model. The record is from RNAcentral.
AACGAACGCUGGCGGCAUGCCUAACACAUGCAAGUCGAACGAGAUCUUCGGGUCUAGUGGCGCACGGGUGCGUAACGCGUGGGAAUCUGCCCUUUGGUUCGGAAUAACAGUUGGAAACGACUGCUAAUACCGGAUGAUGACGAAAGUCCAAAGAUUUGUCGCCAGAGGAUGAGCCCGCGUAGGAUUAGCUAGUUGGUGUGGUAAAGGCGCACCAAGGCGACGAUCCUUAGCUGGUCUGAGAGGAUGAUCAGCCACACUGGGACUGAGACACGGCCCAGACUCCUACGGGAGGCAGCAGUGGGGAAUACUGGACAAUGGGCGAAAGCCUGAUCCAGCAAUGCCGCGUGAGUGAUGAAGGCCUUAGGGUUGUAAAGCUCUUUUACCCGAGAUGAUAAUGACAGUACCGGGAGAAUAAGCUCCGGCUAACUCCGUGCCAGCAGCCGCAGUAA